UACGUAGGGUGCAAGCGUUACUCGGAAUUACUGGGCGUAAAGCGUGCGCAGGCGGUGAUGUAAGUCAGAUGUGAAAUCCCCGGGCUCAACCUGGGAACUGCAUUUGUGACUGCAUCGCUGGAGUACGGCAGAGGGGGAUGGAAUUCCGCGUGUAGCAGUGAAAUGCGUAGAUAUGCGGAGGAACACCGAUGGCGAAGGCAAUCCCCUGGGCCUGUACUGACGCUCAUGCACGAAAGCGUGGGGAGCAAACAGG
Molecule: ribosomal RNA, 253 nt
Filed under: uncultured bacterium
Lineage: Bacteria
Description: partial 16S ribosomal RNA
Rfam family: Bacterial small subunit ribosomal RNA
Source: RNAcentral